Molecule: ribosomal RNA, 253 nt
Filed under: uncultured bacterium
Lineage: Bacteria
Description: partial 16S ribosomal RNA
Rfam family: Bacterial small subunit ribosomal RNA
Source: RNAcentral
UACGUAGGGGGCAAGCGUUAUCCGGAUUUACUGGGUGUAAAGGGAGCGUAGACGGCCAGACAAGUCUGAAGUGAAUAUCCAGCGCUUAACGCUGGAAGUGCUUUGGAAACUGCCGGGCUGGAGUGCAGGAGGGGCAGGCGGAAUUCCUAGUGUAGCGGUGAAAUGCGUAGAUAUUAGGAGGAACACCAGUGGCGAAGGCGGCCUGCUGGACUGCAACUGACGUUGAGGCUCGAAGGCGUGGGGAGCAAACAGG